AGAAAAUGUGGAGGCUCAAGGUUGCAGAUGGAGGCAAUGAUCCCUACAUCUACAGCACCAACAACUUCGUGGGAAGACAGAUAUGGGAGUUUGAUCCUGAUUAUGGAACUCCAGAAGAGCGAGCUGCGGUCGAAGCAGCUCGUGAGAACUUCUGGAAAAACCGAUAUCAGGCUAAGCCCAGCAGCGACCUCCUUUGGCGGAUGCAGUUUUUGAGAGAGAAGAAUUUCAAACAAACAAUACCACAAGUGAAGGUUGGGGAUGG
Long non-coding RNA from Vitis riparia (riverbank grape), 262 nucleotides. RefSeq lists it as uncharacterized. The transcript is spliced from 2 exons. Lineage: Eukaryota; Viridiplantae; Streptophyta; Magnoliopsida; Vitales; Vitaceae. The record is from RefSeq and is a predicted model, not a curated record.